AUCUCACUUUGCUUGCCGGCAACCCAACUUCUACGUAAGCUGUAAUGACCUGCAACUAUGCGUAACGAAGUCCGAAAAGCUAUCCAUAAAGGUUUAUGGAAGGCCAAUGACACAAGGGCACGGGAUGCACGAUGGCCUAGGUUAAAUAGAUCUAGAUCUAGGAAGUGUGAGGUGAACGUGGUCCUGAUAUAAAAUUUACUUCGCUCAAGGGGCGUGAGGAAUCACGGGGUUCGGCGUCCUGUGUAAAUAGCCAAGUGCUGAUUGAGUUUCACAUUGCUUGUGCGCAGAGUUUGAUUGAUAAGCCAUAACAAAAAUAAAUAAAUUUAAAUAUAUAUAUAUAUAUAUAUAUAUAUAUAUAGAUAAACACACACACACACACACAUUAUGUGACGUUAGCGGAUGCAAUUUCUGAAAAUCUGGUAGACGAAUUUUGUGUGUGCAAGCACUGUUAGAUUAGUACAGAAUUUGGGUAGAGAGUUCUCCGGAAUUAAACACUUGAAGAGAACAGUGGCUACGAAUGUUUUGGAUCGUGGUUUGUAAACGUGAUCUUUGAAAGAGGAACAAUGCAGAUGCAUAUGCAUUUCUGUUUGGAAUCAAUGACAAGUGGAACAGUUCUUGAGGGAUCUACUGUUCUUCAGAAAUUGCGUCUAGGUGGAGUAAGAUUAGAGAAUACAGUGAUGAAGGCUUGUUGAAGGUGACUUUCAGACGCUGUAGAUGCACUGCAGCGAGUGUAGGGAAGCCAAGCAUCUCAAUCAUGUUCUUUGGGGUUGCAACGGAGCUGCGAUGACUUCUUCUGAUGCGGGAGAGCUCAAGGAAACCAAGUGUCUCGCAGUGCAAAAAGGUGCGAGGAUUUCACAAGUUGGGAAUGAUUGUCGCAUAAGAUAAAUUUGUAGGAUUUGAUAGGCUCGACGAAAAUUCGAAUGUGAAGUGACGUGCUGACGGGCCGCCAUCUCUCAAGAUGCUUGAUGUGCUCCAAAAACCUGGAAAACAAAUGAAUGUGCUUGAAUUUUUUCUCGUUGCAACAACCUUCUUGCAGACUUUCAUGAUGCAA
Physcomitrium patens is the source of this 1051-nucleotide long non-coding RNA. RefSeq lists it as uncharacterized. The record is from RefSeq and is a predicted model, not a curated record. NCBI's taxonomy places the organism in Eukaryota, Viridiplantae, Streptophyta, Bryopsida, Funariales, Funariaceae.